UUGAAAACACUGUAAUAAAUCAUCUCCUUUAUUUUGCUCUGCAUCGCCAUAUCUCACCUCAAACACAACUUGCAGACGUCAACUCCGGCUACCGGAAAAAGCGACAACCUAUGUAAUUUCACUCUUUUGUAUUCAUCCCAACGUCUCUACCGUCACGCUGAUGCUGGUUUUGGUCCGGGUAUGAACCGGGUACGAACCUACAGCUCUUUUCAAAUGCUUGCAUGGCCAUUCAUAAUCCAGGGGCGGACCUACCUUAGGGGAAGGGGUAGCCUCCGCUACCGCUUGGCGCUCCGGCGGUAG
This 300-nucleotide long non-coding RNA is filed under the name Helianthus annuus (common sunflower). RNAcentral's name for it is "sRNA HanXRQr2_Chr16g0747751". Lineage: Eukaryota; Viridiplantae; Streptophyta; Magnoliopsida; Asterales; Asteraceae. The record is from RNAcentral.